This 522-nucleotide ribosomal RNA is filed under the name Bacillus subtilis. Its description in RNAcentral is "bacterial SSU rRNA". The stretch from base 1 to 450 matches the Rfam family "Bacterial small subunit ribosomal RNA", at positions 74 to 535 of the family's 1533-position model. The record is from RNAcentral. Lineage: Bacteria; Bacillati; Bacillota; Bacilli; Caryophanales; Bacillaceae. RNAcentral also lists the same sequence under 1 other name.
CCCUUUUCGGAGGGAGCGUCAGACGGGUGAGUAACGCGUGGGAAUCUACCUAUCUCUAGGGAAUAACUCAGGGAAACUUGUGCUAAUACCCUAUACGUCCGUAAGGAGAAAGAUUUAUCGGAGAUAGAUGAGCCCGCGUUGGAUUAGCUAGUUGGUGGGGUAAAGGCCUACCAAGGCGACGAUCCAUAGCUGGUCUGAGAGGAUGAUCAGCCACACUGGGGACUGAGACACGGCCCAGACUCCUACGGGGAGGCAGCAGUGGGGAAAUAUUGGGACAAUGGGCGCAAGCCYUGAUCCAGCCAUGCCGCGUGGAGUGGAUGAAAGGCCCCUAGGGGUUGGUAAAGCUUCUUUCACCGGGUGGAAAGAUAAUGACGGUUAACCGGGAGAAAGAAGCCCCCGGGCUUAACUUCCGUGCCCAGCCAGCCCGGCGGGUAAUACCNAAGGGGGGGCCUUAGCCGGUUUGGUUUUCGGGAAUUUUACCUGGGGCCGGUAAAAAGCCGCCACCGGUAAGGGCGGGGAUUU